RNAcentral lists this ribosomal RNA (253 nucleotides) under uncultured bacterium. RNAcentral describes it as "partial 16S ribosomal RNA". It matches the Rfam family "Bacterial small subunit ribosomal RNA", at positions 524 to 776 of the family's 1533-position model. The record is from RNAcentral.
UACGUAGGGUGCAAGCGUUAAUCGGAAUUACUGGGCGUAAAGCGUGCGCAGGCGGUUAUGUAAGACAGGUGGGAAAUCCCCGGGCUCAACCUGGGAACUGCAUCUGUGACUGCAUAGCUAGAGUACGGUAGAGGGGGAUGGAAUUCCGCGUGUAGCAGUGAAAUGCGUAGAUAUGCGGAGGAACACCGAUGGCGAAGGCAAUCCCCUGGACCUGUACUGACGCUCAUGCACGAAAGCGUGGGGAGCAAACAGG